GCCCCACCGUAAAAUAUUAACCCACAUUAACCAACGCCAGGGUAUUACGAGCUUAGCUUAAAACCCAAAGGACUUGACGGUGUCCCACCCAACUAGAGGAGCCUGUUCUAUAAUCGAUAACCCCCGAUUUACCUAACCCCAUUUUGCCACUCAGCCUGUAUACCUCCGUCGCAAACUUACCAUAUGAAUGUUCACAGUAAGUACAAUGGUCUCAACACCAACACGUCAGGUCAAGGUGCAGCUUAUGAUAGGGGAAGCAAUGGGCUACAAUUUCUAAUAUAGAACACACGAAAUACUGCAUGAAACACAGCUAUGAAGGCGGAUUUAGAAGUAAAAAGAAAAUAAUGUGUUCCUUUUAACAAGGCCCUGGGACGUGUACACACCGCCCGUCACCCUCUUCAAUAGUUCCUCACAUGUUCGUAACAACUUUAUACAUCUUAGAAGAGGCAAGUCGUAACAUGGUAAGUGUACCGGAAGUGCACUUGGAUAAACAAAAUAUAGCUUAA
This 506-nucleotide ribosomal RNA is filed under the name Limnonectes blythii (giant mountain frog). RNAcentral's name for it is "partial 12S ribosomal RNA". It matches the Rfam family "Bacterial small subunit ribosomal RNA", at positions 794 to 1533 of the family's 1533-position model. Lineage: Eukaryota; Metazoa; Chordata; Amphibia; Anura; Dicroglossidae. The record is from RNAcentral.